AUACGUAGGGGGCGAGCGUUGUCCGGAAUGACUGGGCGUAAAGGGCGUGUAGGCGGCGGUGUAAGUCUGGAGUGAAAGUCCCGCAUUCAAUGUGGGAAUUGCUUUGGAUACUGCAGUGCUUGAGUGCAGGAGAGGUAAGUGGAAUUCCCAGUGUAGCGGUGAAAUGCGUAGAGAUUGGGAGGAACACCAGUGGCGAAGGCGACUUACUGGACUGUAACUGACGCUGAGGCGCGAAAGUGUGGGGAGCAAACAGGAUUAGAUACCCUGGUAGUCCACACUGUAAACGAUGAAUGCUAGGUGUAGGGGGUAUCGACCCCUUCUGUGCCGCAGUCAACACAAUAAGCAUUCCGCCUGGGGAGUACGGCCGCAAGGUUGAAACUCAAAUGAAUUGACGGGG
RNAcentral lists this ribosomal RNA (397 nucleotides) under uncultured bacterium. Its description in RNAcentral is "partial 16S ribosomal RNA". It matches the Rfam family "Bacterial small subunit ribosomal RNA", at positions 523 to 918 of the family's 1533-position model. The record is from RNAcentral.